RNAcentral lists this ribosomal RNA (468 nucleotides) under uncultured bacterium. RNAcentral's name for it is "partial 16S ribosomal RNA". It matches the Rfam family "Bacterial small subunit ribosomal RNA", at positions 28 to 507 of the family's 1533-position model. The record is from RNAcentral.
GACGAACGCUGGCGGCGUGCUUAACACAUGCAAGUCGAACGGACAGGCCCUGCUUUUGCGGCGUGCUCGAGUGCCGCACGGGUGAGUAACACAUGAGUAACCUGCCCUUGACUUUGUGAUAACUUCAGGAAACUGGGGCUCAUAUCGGAUAGGAUCUCCUGCUGCAUGGUGGGGGUUGGAAAGUUUCGGCGGUUGGAGAUGGACUCGCGGCUUAUCAGCUUGUUGGUGGGGUAGUGGCUUCCCAAGGCUGUGAAGGAUAGCCGGCCUGGGAGGGGUGCCGGGCACAAGGGUACUGAGAGACGGACCAGAAGCGUACGGGAGGCAGUGGGGGGGAAUAUUGCGGAACAGGCGGAAGCCAGUGGUAGCAGCGCCGGGUGCGGGAUGGCGGCUUUCGGGUUGUAAACAGCUUUCGACUGUGACGAAGCGUGAGUGACGGUAAUGGGUAAAAAAGCAACGGCUAACUACGUG